AAACCCAACUACACCCCUAACUUCUAUAACCCCCACCCCACGGGACCCUGUAUAGUUGGUUUUAGGUUGGGGCAACCACGGAGCACAACAAAGCCUCCACAAUGAAUGGGACCACCCCCCUUAUCUAAGAGCCACACCCCUAGGAAUUAAAACAUUAAUAUAAAAUGAUCCAUUAUUUGAUCAAUGAACCAAGUUACCCUGGGGAUAACAGCGCAAUCCAUUUCAAGAGCCCCUAUCGACAAA
Molecule: ribosomal RNA, 243 nt
Filed under: Mantidactylus paidroa
Lineage: Eukaryota; Metazoa; Chordata; Amphibia; Anura; Mantellidae
Description: partial 16S ribosomal RNA
Source: RNAcentral